RNAcentral lists this long non-coding RNA (312 nucleotides) under Nicotiana tabacum (common tobacco). Its description in RNAcentral is "long non-coding RNA (NTAB_LNC015323)". The record is from RNAcentral. Lineage: Eukaryota; Viridiplantae; Streptophyta; Magnoliopsida; Solanales; Solanaceae.
UAAACUGAACUUUUCCUUGCAGUCAGCAUUAGGGUUUUAAACCCUAAACUGAGCUUUUCCAUGCAAUCAGCAUUAGGGUUUUAAACCCUAAACUGAACUUUUCCUUUUAGUUAGAUUAGGGUUUUAAACCCUAAACUGAACUUUUCCUUGCAGUCAGCAUUAGGGUUUUAAACCCUAAACUGAACUUUUCCUUUUAGCCAGCAUUAGGGUUUUAAACCCUAAACUGAGCUUUUCCUUUCAGUCAGCAUUAGGGUUUUAAACCCUAAACUGAACUUUCCCUUUCAGUCAGCAUUAGGGUUUUAAACCCUAAAC